This 392-nucleotide ribosomal RNA is filed under the name uncultured bacterium. RNAcentral describes it as "partial 16S ribosomal RNA". It matches the Rfam family "Bacterial small subunit ribosomal RNA", at positions 523 to 918 of the family's 1533-position model. The record is from RNAcentral.
AUACGGAAGGUCCGGGCGUUAUCCGGAUUUAUUGGGUUUAAAGGGAGCGCAGGCGGAGAUGCAAGCGUGACGUCAAAUUUCGGGGCUCAACCCCGUCUCGCGUCGCGAACUGCGUCCCUUGGUUGCGGGAAGGGGAGGCGGAACUCGUGGUGUAGCGGUGAAAUGCAUAGAUAUCACGAAGAACUCCGAUCGCGAAGGCAGCCUUCCGGCCCGUCAACGACGCUCAUGCUCGAAGGUGCGGGUAUCAAACAGGAUUAGAUACCCUGGUAGUCCGCACGGUAAACGAUGAUUACCCGCUGUCGGCGGCAGACAGUCGGCGGCCAAGCGAAAGCGAUAAGUAAUCCACCUGGGGAGUACGCCGGCAACGGUGAAACUCAAAGGAAUUGACGGGG